Molecule: ribosomal RNA, 655 nt
Filed under: uncultured bacterium
Lineage: Bacteria
Description: bacterial SSU rRNA
Rfam family: Bacterial small subunit ribosomal RNA
Source: RNAcentral
AUGGGCAUGCGUUCCAUUAGCUUGUUGGCGGGGUAACGGCCCACCAAGGCAUCGAUGGAUAGGGGUUCUGAGAGGAAGGUCCCCCACACUGGUACUGAGACACGGACCAGACUCCUACGGGAGGCAGCAGUGAGGAAUAUUGGUCAAUGGGCGCUAGCCUGAACCAGCCAAGUAGCGUGAAGGAUGACUGCCCUAUGGGUUGUAAACUUCUUUUGCAGGGGAAUAACGGUAGCUACGUGUAGCUAUGUGCAUGUACCUUGCGAAUAAGCAUCGGCUAACUCCGUGCCAGCAGCCGCGGUAAUACGGAGGAUGCGAGCGUUAUCCGGAUUUAUUGGGUUUAAAGGGUGCGUAGGCGGGUUUUUAAGUCAGCUGUGAAAGUUCGGGGCUCAACCCCGGAAUUGCAGUUGAUACUGGGAGCCUUGAGUACACAAGAGGCAGGCGGAAUUCGUGGUGUAGCGGUGAAAUGCUUAGAUAUCACGAAGAACUCCUAUUGCGAAGGCAGCUUGCUGGGGUGUAACUGACGCUGAUGCACGAAAGUGUGGGUAUCAAACAGAAUUAGAUACCCUGGUAGUCCACACAGUAAACGAUGAAUACUCGCUGUCGGCGAUAUACUGUCGGCGCCCGUCCAAAGCAUUAAGUAUUCCACCUGGGGAGU